AUGAAGAACGCAGCGAAAUGCGAUAAGUAAUGUGAAUUGCAGAAUUCAGUGAAUCAUCGAGUCUUUGAACGCACAUUGCGCCCCCUGGUAUUCCGGGGGGCAUGCCUGUCCGAGCGUCAUUGCUGCCCUCAAGCACGGCUUGUGUGUUGGGCCCCGUCCUCCGAUCCCGGGGGACGGGCCCGAAAGGCAGCGGCGGCACCGCGUCCGGUCCUCGAGCGUAUGGGGCUUUGUCACCCGCUCUGUAGGCCCGGCCGGCGCUUGCCGAUCAACCCAAAUUUUUAUCCAGGUUGACCUCGGAUCAGGUAGGGAUACCCGCUGAACUUAAGCAUAUCAAUAAGCGGAGGA
Molecule: unclassified non-coding RNA, 345 nt
Filed under: soil metagenome
Description: partial contains 5.8S ribosomal RNA, internal transcribed spacer 2, and large subunit ribosomal RNA
Rfam family: 5.8S ribosomal RNA (bases 1-119)
Source: RNAcentral